This is a long non-coding RNA of Cercocebus atys (sooty mangabey), 294 nucleotides long. RefSeq lists it as uncharacterized. Lineage: Eukaryota; Metazoa; Chordata; Mammalia; Primates; Cercopithecidae. The transcript is spliced from 3 exons. The record is from RefSeq and is a predicted model, not a curated record.
ACUGUUCACCCAAAAAAUGUAUGAUAGCAGGCCUUGAAAGAUAAUCCUGUGGGUCUCUUAGGACCACCAUAAGUGUACGUGAAAGUUCCAUUUGCAGACCACCAUCGAACAAAGUCUCCUGAGAACACACAAGGAGGAACGCAAAAUUCACUCUUCUGACGGUGUUUUCCAACAAACUCUCAUCACACUUUGAAGGAAUCAAUCCACAAACCUCUAUGGCAUGGAGAAGCUGGCAGCCCCUGUUUUGAGGACAUGGGGCAAGAGACAUGAAGAAGCAGGUCCCUGAGCGGUACG